GGGGGAUAGCCCGAAGAAAUUCGGAUUAAGACCGCAUAAAAACACAGGGUAGCAUUAUCCAAUGUUCAAAUAUUUAUAGGAUUAAGAUGGGCAUGCGUGUCAUUAGCUAGUUGGCGGGGUAACGGCCCACCAAGGCGACGAUGACUAGGGGAUCUGAGAGGAUGACCCCCCACACUGGUACUGAGACACGGACCAGACUCCUACGGGAGGCAGCAGUAAGGAAUAUUGGUCAAUGGAGGGAACUCUGAACCAGCCAUGCCGCGUGCAGGAAGACAGCCCUCUGGGUCGUAAACUGCUUUUAUUCGGGAAUAAACCUAUCUACGUGUAGGUAGCUGAAUGUACCGAAGGAAUAAGGAUCGGCUAACUCCGUGCCAGCAGCCGCGGUAAUACGGAGGAUCCAAGCGUUAUCCGGAUUUAUUGGGUUUAAAGGGUGCGUAGGCGGCUUAUUAAGUCAGGGGUGAAAGACGGUGGCUCAACCAUCGCAGUGCCCUUGAUACUGAUGAGCUUGAAUACACUAGAGGUAGGCGGAAUGUGACAAGUAGCGGUGAAAUGCAUAGAUAUGUCACAGAA
This 570-nucleotide ribosomal RNA is filed under the name uncultured Sphingobacteriaceae bacterium. RNAcentral describes it as "bacterial SSU rRNA". It matches the Rfam family "Bacterial small subunit ribosomal RNA", at positions 138 to 706 of the family's 1533-position model. Lineage: Bacteria; Pseudomonadati; Bacteroidota; Sphingobacteriia; Sphingobacteriales; Sphingobacteriaceae. The record is from RNAcentral.